AUUGAACGCUGGCGGCAGGCUUAACACAUGCAAGUCGAGCGGGGGAAGGUAGCUUGCUACCGGACCUAGCGGCGGACGGGUGAGUAAUGCUUAGGAAUCUGCCUAUUAGUGGGGGACAACAUCUCGACAGGGAUGCUAAUACCGCAUACGUCCUACGGGAGAAAGCAGGGGAUCACUUGUGACCUUGCGAUAAUAGAUGAGCCUAAGUCGGAUUAGCUAGUUGGUGGGGUAAAGGCCUACCAAGGCGACGAUCUGUAGCGGGUCUGAGAGGAUGAUCCGCCACACUGGGACUGAGACACGGCCCAGACUCCUACGGGAGGCAGCAGUGGGGAAUAUUGGACAAUGGGGGGAACCCUGAUCCAGCCAUGCCGCGUGUGUGAAGAAGGCCUUAUGGUUGUAAAGCACUUUAAGCGAGGAGGAGGCUUACCUAGUUAAUACCUGGGAUAAGUGGACGUUACUCGCAGAAUAAGCACCGGCUAACUCUGUGCCAGCCGCCGUAACAC
Molecule: ribosomal RNA, 503 nt
Filed under: uncultured bacterium
Lineage: Bacteria
Description: partial 16S ribosomal RNA
Rfam family: Bacterial small subunit ribosomal RNA
Source: RNAcentral